Molecule: ribosomal RNA, 230 nt
Filed under: uncultured bacterium
Lineage: Bacteria
Description: partial 16S ribosomal RNA
Rfam family: Bacterial small subunit ribosomal RNA
Source: RNAcentral
UGAGUAACCUGCCCUUCACUUCGGGAUAACUCCGGGAAACCGGGGCUAAUACUGGAUGUGACCUGGUGCCGCAUGGUGCUGGGUGGAAAGUUUUUCGGUGGGGGAUGGACUCGCGGCCUAUCAGCUUGUUGGUGAGGUAAUGGCUUACCAAGGCGACGACGGGUAGCCGGCCUGAGAGGGCGAUCGGCCACACUGGGACUGAGACACGGCCCAGACUCCUACGGGAGGCA